UGGGGGAGGCAGCAGGGAAUAUUGUGCAAUGAACGAAAGUUUGACACAGCGACACCGCGUGUGGGAUGACGGAUCUAGGUUUGUAAACCACUUUCAGGAGGGAAGAAAAUGACGGUACCUCCACAAGAAGCCCCGGCCAACUACGUGCCAGCAGCCGCGGUAAUACGUAGGGGGCGAGCGUUGUCCGGAUUUAUUGGGCGUAAAGAGCUCGUAGGCGGUUCAACAAGUCGGUCGUGAAAGUUCAGGGCUCAACCCUGAAAUGUCGAUCGAUACUGUUGUGACUAGGAUACGGUAGAGGUGAGUGGAAUUCCGAGUGUAGCGGUGAAAUGCGUAGAUAUUCGGAGGAACACCAAUUGCGAAGGCAGCUCACUGGGCCGCUAUCGACGCUGAGGAGCGAAAGCUAGGGGAGCAAACAGGAUUAGAUACCCUGGUAGUCCUAGCUGUAAACGAUGGAUACUAGAUGUAGGAACUGGAUUGAUUCUCC
Molecule: ribosomal RNA, 484 nt
Filed under: uncultured Actinomycetes bacterium
Lineage: Bacteria; Bacillati; Actinomycetota; Actinomycetes
Description: bacterial SSU rRNA
Rfam family: Bacterial small subunit ribosomal RNA
Source: RNAcentral